AUUGAACGCUGGCGGCAGGCCUAACACAUGCAAGUCGAGCGGUUGACGGGAGCUUGCUCCCUGAUUCAGCGGCGGACGGGUGAGCAAUGCCUAGGAAUCUGCCUAUUAGUGGGGGACAACGUUUCGAAAGGAACGCUAAUACCGCAUACGUCCUACGGGAGCAAGCAGGGGACCUUCGGGCCUUGCGCUAAUAGAUGAGCCUAGGUCGGAUUAGCUUGUUGGUGAGGUAAUGGCUCACCAAGGCGACGAUCCGUAACUGGUCUGAGAGGAUGAUCAGUCACACUGGAACUGAGACACGGUCCAGACUCCUACGGGAGGCAGCAGUGGGGAAUAUUGGACAAUGGGCGAAAGCCUGAUCCAGCCAUGCCGCGUGUGUGAAGAAGGUCUUCGGAUUGUAAAGCACUUUAAGUUGGGAGGAAGGGUUGUAGAUUAAUACUCUGCGAUUUUGACGUUACCGACAGAAUAAGCACCGGCUAACUCUGUGCCAGCCGCCGCAGUAA
Molecule: ribosomal RNA, 500 nt
Filed under: uncultured bacterium
Lineage: Bacteria
Description: partial 16S ribosomal RNA
Rfam family: Bacterial small subunit ribosomal RNA
Source: RNAcentral